ACGUAGGGGGCGAGCGUUGUCCGGAAUUAAUGGGCGUAAAGGGUGCGUAGGUGGCCUUUUAAGUUGGAUGUGAAAUCCCCGGGCUUAACUUGGGUGGUGCAUCUAAUACUGGAGGGCUAGAGUGCAGGAGAGGGAAGCGGAAUUCCUAGUGUAGCGGUGAAAUGCGUAAAUAUUAGGAGGAACACCAGUGGCGAAGGCGGCUAUCUGGACUGUACCUGACGGUGAGUCACGAAAGCGUGGGGAGCAAACAG
RNAcentral lists this ribosomal RNA (251 nucleotides) under uncultured prokaryote. RNAcentral's name for it is "partial 16S rRNA". It matches the Rfam family "Bacterial small subunit ribosomal RNA", at positions 525 to 775 of the family's 1533-position model. The record is from RNAcentral.